CAGCCGCCGCGGUAAUACGUAGGUGGCAAGCGUUGUCCGGAAUUAUUGGGCGUAAAGGGCUCGCAGGCGGUUUCUUAAGUCUGAUGUGAAAGCCCCCGGCUCAACCGGGGAUGGUCAUUGGAAACUGGGAAACUUGAGUGCAGAAGAGGAGAGUGGAAUUCCACGUGUAGCGGUGAAAUGCGUAGAGAUGUGGAGGAACACCAGUGGCGAAGGCGACUCUCUGGUCUGUAACUGACGCUGAGGAGCGAAAGCGUGGGGAGCAAAUGGGAUUAGAUACCCCCGUAGUCCCUGUCUCUUAUAA
Molecule: ribosomal RNA, 301 nt
Filed under: uncultured bacterium
Lineage: Bacteria
Description: partial 16S ribosomal RNA
Rfam family: Bacterial small subunit ribosomal RNA
Source: RNAcentral